AGAUAUCAUUAUUGAAGACAUUGGGAAAAGAGAAGAUGAAGGAGGGAACAUGUACACAUGUACAUAGUCUCACUGAUUACUACCUACGGAAAGACUAACAUAUGAGUGAACUCAGAACGGCUAACAGAAGGUUAAUAUUAAUGGUGCUCCACUCCCUAUCCCACACAGAGAUCAACCCUUACCCCCUCCACCACCCCCAGUAUUUCUAUUUUACUCCAUUUCUAUUAUACUCCAUCAUGACUCUAAGCUGUCAAGCUUACUGGGAAAAAAAGAGUACUACCUUUGCACUAUACAAUCUGUUUAGAGAGCCUUUACCAAGAAAGUGGCAUGCAUAUUAGGUGAUGAGCUGAUGACAUUGCUUCAUUAGUAUCUAAUCUUGGUAGCUCCUAGAAUGCAG
Amphimedon queenslandica is the source of this 397-nucleotide long non-coding RNA. RefSeq lists it as uncharacterized. NCBI's taxonomy places the organism in Eukaryota, Metazoa, Porifera, Demospongiae, Haplosclerida, Niphatidae. The transcript is spliced from 4 exons. The record is from RefSeq and is a predicted model, not a curated record.